GACGAACGCUGGCGGCGUGCUUAACACAUGCAAGUCGAACGCCCCGGCCCUGCUUUUGUGGGGUGCUCGAUUGCCGAUCGGGUGAUUAACACUUGUUUAACCUGCCUUCGACUUUGGGAUAACUUUAGGAAACUAGGGCUAAUACCGCAUAGUAUCUCCUCCUGCAUUGUGGGCGCUUGAAAUUUUCUGCUGUUUGGGUUAGACUCGCGGCUUAUCAGCUUGUUGUUGGGGUAGUGGCUUACCAAGGCUUUGAAGGGUAGCCGGCCUGAGAGGAUGACUGGACAAAUUACGACUGAGAUACGACCCAGACUCCUACACGAGGCAGCAGUGCAGAAUAUUGCACAAUAGAAGGAAGCCAAAUCCAGCAACGCCGCGUCCGGGAUGACAGCAUUCGGGUUGUAAACCAAUUUCCCCUUUUACGAAAAGAGAAUGACGGUAAUGGAUAAAUAAGCACCGGCUAACUACGUG
This 468-nucleotide ribosomal RNA is filed under the name uncultured bacterium. RNAcentral's name for it is "partial 16S ribosomal RNA". It matches the Rfam family "Bacterial small subunit ribosomal RNA", at positions 28 to 507 of the family's 1533-position model. The record is from RNAcentral.